AGAGUUUGAUCCUGGCUCAGAACGUACGCUGGCGGCACGCCUAACACAUGCAAGUCGAACGAAGUAGCAAUACUUAGUGGCAGACGGGUGAGUAACAUGUAGGUAUCUGCCCUUUGGCCUGGAAUAACACGAGGAAACUUGUGCUAAUACCGGAUAAGUCUUUACGGAGAAAGCUUUAUGCACCAUUGGAUGAGCCUGCACUUGAUUAGUUUGUUGGUGGGGUAAUGGCCUACCAAGACUGUGAUCAAUAGCUGAUUUGAGAGGAUGAUCAGCCACAUUGGGACUGAGACACGGCCCAAACUCCUACGGGAGGCAGCAGUGGGGAAUCUUGCACAAUGGAGGAAACUCUGAUGCAGCGAUGCCGCGUGAGUGAAGAAGGCCCUUGGGUUGUAAAGCUCUUUCGUCGGGGAAGAAAAUGACUGUACCCGAAUAAGAAGGUCCGGCUAACUUCGUGCCAGCAGCCGCGGUAAUACGAAGGGACCUAGCGUAGUUCGGAAUUACUGGGCUUAAAGAGUUCGUAGGUGGUUGAAAAAGUUAGUGGUGAAAUCCCAGAGCUUAACUCUGGAACUGCCAUUAAAACUUUUCAGCUAGAGUAUGAUAGAGGAAAGCAGAAUUUCUAGUGUAGAGGUGAAAUUCGUAGAUAUUAGAAAGAAUACCAAUUGCGAAGGCAGCUUUCUGGAUCAUUACUGACACUGAGGAACGAAAGCAUGCGUAGCGAAGAGGAUUAGAUACCCUCGUAGUCCAUGCCGUAAACGAUGUGUGUUAGACGUUGGAAAUUUAUUUUCAGUGUCGCAGGAAACCGAUAAACACACCGCCUGGGGAGUACGACCGCAAGGUUAAAACUCAAAUGAAUUGACGGGACCCGCACAAGUAGUGGAGCAUGUGGG
This 887-nucleotide ribosomal RNA is filed under the name uncultured bacterium. Its description in RNAcentral is "bacterial SSU rRNA". It matches the Rfam family "Bacterial small subunit ribosomal RNA", at positions 8 to 945 of the family's 1533-position model. The record is from RNAcentral.